Molecule: ribosomal RNA, 351 nt
Filed under: uncultured Tubulinea
Lineage: Eukaryota; Tubulinea
Description: partial Bacterial large subunit ribosomal RNA
Rfam family: Bacterial large subunit ribosomal RNA
Source: RNAcentral
AAAAGUUUAAUGGCUUAAUCUUGCUUUACUGUUUGACUUACACGUCUAUCAGUUGCGUAAGCAGGGCAUAUGAUCACAAGAUGCAUAAAGGAAAGGUCUUGGAUUUUUGAAAAAGCUACGCUAGGGAUAACAGGCUAAUUGCGCCAGAGAGUACAAAUUGAGUGCGCAGUUUGGCACCUCGAUGUCGGCUUAGCUCAUCCACAUGAAUGCAGAAAUCAUGAAGGGUACGACUGUUCGUCGAUUAAAGAGCUACACGAGCUGGGUUAAAUACGUCGUGAGACAGUAUGGUUUCUAUCUUCUAGAGGAAAUUAGAGUAAAAUAAGGAUAGCCCCUUCGUACGAAAGGAGUUGG